AGAGUUUGAUCAUGGCUCAGAACGAACGCUGGCGGCGUGCUUAACACAUGCAAGUCGAGUGCGCGGUGCCGUAGCAAUACGGUACUGGCGCACGGCGCACGGGUGCGUAACACGUGGGUAAUCUGCCCUCUGAUGGGGAAUAACCCCGCGAAAGCGGGGCUAAUACCGCAUAACAUUCCUUGGACUCCGGUUUGAGGACUCAAAGCCGUAAGGCGUCGGAGGUGGAGCCCGCGCACGAUUAGCUAGUUGGUAGGGUAACGGCCUACCAAGGCUAUGAUCGUUAGCUGGUCUGAGAGGAUGGCCAGCCACACUGGAACUGAGACACGGUCCAGACUCCUACGGGAGGCAGCAGUGGGGAAUCUUGCGCAAUGGGCGAAAGCCUGACGCAGCGACGCCGCGUGGGGGAUGAAGCUUCUCGGAGUGUAAACCCCUUUCGACCGGGACGAAUGCCCGCAAGGGAGUGACGGUACCGGUAUAAGAAGCCCCGGCUAACUACGUGCCAGCAGCCGCGGUAAGACGUAGGGGGCCAGCGUUGUUCGGAAUUACUGGGUGUAAAGGGUUCGUAGGCGGUGUGGCAAGCCGGGAGUGAAAUCUCUGGGCUCAACUCAGGGGCUGCUUCCGAAACUGCUGUGCUAGAGUGUGGGAGAGGCGCGUGGAAUUGCAGGUGUAGCGGUGAAAUGCGUAGAUAUCUGCAGGAACACCCGUGGCGAAAGCGGCGCGCUGGACCACUACUGACGCUGAGGAACGAAAGCUAGGGGAGCAAACAGGAUUAGAUACCCCCGUAGUCC
RNAcentral lists this ribosomal RNA (788 nucleotides) under uncultured bacterium. RNAcentral's name for it is "bacterial SSU rRNA". It matches the Rfam family "Bacterial small subunit ribosomal RNA", at positions 8 to 796 of the family's 1533-position model. The record is from RNAcentral.